UAAGACGAGGGAUCCUAGCGUUGCUCGGAAUCAUUGGGCGUAAAGCGGGUGUAGGGGGCUAUAUAAGUCAGGUGUGAAAGCCCGGGGCUCAACCCCGGAAGUGCAUUUGAUACUGCAUAGCUUGAGUGUCGGAGAGGUCAUCGGAAUACCUGGUGUAGUGGUGAAAUACGUAGAUAUCAGGUGGAACACCGGAGGCGAAGGCGGGUGACUGGCCGAACACUGACCCUGAGACCCGAAAGCGUGGGGAUCAAACAGG
RNAcentral lists this ribosomal RNA (256 nucleotides) under uncultured bacterium. RNAcentral's name for it is "partial 16S ribosomal RNA". It matches the Rfam family "Bacterial small subunit ribosomal RNA", at positions 521 to 776 of the family's 1533-position model. The record is from RNAcentral.